Molecule: ribosomal RNA, 468 nt
Filed under: uncultured bacterium
Lineage: Bacteria
Description: partial 16S ribosomal RNA
Rfam family: Bacterial small subunit ribosomal RNA
Source: RNAcentral
GACGAACGCUGGCGGCGUGCUUAACACAUGCAAGUCGAACGGAAAGGCCCUGCUUUUGUGGGGUGCUCGAGUGGCGAACGGGUGAGUAACACGUGAGUAACCUGCCCUUGACUUUGGGAUAACUUCAGGAAACUGGGGCUAAUACCGGAUAGGAUCUCCUGCUGCAUGGUGGGGGUUGGAAAGUUUCGGCGGUUGUGGAUGGACUCGCGGCUUAUCAGCUUGUUGGUGGGGUAGGGGCUUACCAAGGCUUUGACGGGUAGCCGGCCUGAGAGGGUGACCGGCCACAUUGGGACUGAGAUACGGCCCAGACUGCUACGGGAGGCAGCAGUGGGGAAUAUUGCACAAUGGGCGGAAGCCUGAUGCAGCAACGCCGGGUGUGGGAUGACGGCCUUCGGGUUGUAAACCGCUUUCGCCUGUGACGAAGAGUGAGUGACGGUAAUGAGUAAAAAAGCACCGGCUAACUACGUG